UGCAGGGUGGUGUAGUGGUUAGCACUCUUUCCUGCAGCAAGAAGGUGUUGGGUUUGAAUCCCGCCUCGGGGUCU
Non-coding RNA from Ataeniobius toweri, 74 nucleotides. The record is from the annotation of a GenBank genome assembly. NCBI's taxonomy places the organism in Eukaryota, Metazoa, Chordata, Actinopteri, Cyprinodontiformes, Goodeidae.